UAACCGUAACCCCCACUUCAAUUACUUCUGCCUACCAAUUACAAAAUCAAAUUGAGAGAAUAAAUGCCAUAUAUUGAAUGACACCAUUGCUUUUAUUUGAUUUGUCAUGUUUGUUUUGUGUGUCAUAGACACAGGGAAGAGGCACAUGUGGGGACUCCCAGUGGACAGCAGCGAGGGAAACUUCAAGGAGGGCUUCAAAAUUGGACGAAGAGGGGAUGGAGGUUGCUGUGUGUCGCCAUGGGUUCCUUUUGAAAGCCCUUAAUAUGUACAGGGGAGAGAUAUUUGCCUACCCUCUGUAUCUUCAGAAGGAGCUCAUGCCAGCCAAGGCACAAUUCUUCGCAAUGGAUGUGGCAUGCAAAUACUGGCCAUACUUGGAGAAAGCUGCUAGUGUCCUUCCUGCUCUUCAGGAGCUGACUACUAUGAAACCCUUUCUCAGUGUAAUGCAUGCUCGAGCCCAUGCUACUAAGUGUGAGGUGUGUAUAAUAUUUUAGCAUCAUAUGUACAUUUGUAAUAUUUACAAGCACAUUAAUAAUAUGAAAUUGAAGUUAAGCUACACUAUAUUAUCUUGUCUUUUUGCAUAACCAUUUCUUGCAUGGAUUGUAAUGCCCUUUGAUGCAGAUUGUGUUUUGUGAUAUUGUCCUAUAUAAAUUAAAUUAAAUGUAAUUUAAUUUCUUUCACCCUUUACUAACAGAUUAAUUGGAGUGGCAGGAACCAGGAAGGAGCAGGGACAACAGCUGGUGAGGAGGUGGAGCAAGUGAACAGUUACCUUUCACGUUGUGCCCUGACGACCAAAUACAUGUCAAAAGCAGCACGGGUGGACAUGCUUACCUUGCAUGCAAUGGGGUGGAACGAGAAAAAGAAUCUCUCUCUACAUCAGGCACUUUCCACAAGGUAAGUCUCUUAUUAAUUUUUUUGUGUGUCCUUUUGUUGUGUUUACUUGGCCUGUUGUUAAUCAUACAAAGUUGUAAUCCUGAUUAUUGUAUAACACUGUUCAUCAGACUUGUCAGAGACUCCAUGAUGAGACUGCAAGGCUAGCUGACCUAAAAACAGAGCUAGAUUGCACAGAUGAAGUGGUGUCACAGUGGCUAUCUGAUGUGAAGGAAUGGGCAGCUGGUGAGACACCUGAUACAUCUAGUGCCAGUCAAGGCACAACACACAGAGGAAUUCAGCAAUCAAUUAAGGGGCUCUACCUUAGUGUGAGGCACCGGAAGCGAACCCUCUACCGUCAGAAUGACAGCAGCAAGUUUCGCCAUCGCCUUCGAAGAAAGCUGGCAGAAGACAAAAAACUCCUUCUUCAGGAGAUACAGAAAUACAAUGAUCUUGUACUAGAAUCGGCAACAACCAUUGACGUAGCUGUGGUGGAGCAUUCCCUAACUGGAGAGAGUACUGUGUCUCAAAUAUGGCCGUGGGAAGUUCAUGGCAGUGCAAACAUUUCAAUCAAGGAACGAGUGCACGAUCAAGUGAUGUUAACAAGGCGACUGCAUGAGGAAACAAGAGUUUUGGUGUUGGAGAUGGCACAACACUGCACAUGGUUGCAGAGCCUGGCAAUGGUUCUCAAGAACAAGUUGGCUGAGGAGGACCAGGGAAAUGAGUGACUUUGCUGUCUCUUAAGAAGUCUCUUAGGUCCUGAGGCCUCUGNUGUUAUUCUUAAUAAUUAAUUUGUGUAUUUUAUUAAUGCUUUACACACCUUACUUAUUCUAAAACAGCUGAAAUUCACCCUCUUAUCCUAAUUCUUGCUUUUUUGUUUUUCUGUAUUUCCCCAGAUGGAAGCUGCACGAAGGACUAUGUUGAAGGAAAUGGACUUGCCCUAUAUCUGUGUAUUAUUAGUAUGCUGAUUGAUUAACCAC
Molecule: long non-coding RNA, 1847 nt
Organism: Cyprinus carpio (common carp)
Lineage: Eukaryota; Metazoa; Chordata; Actinopteri; Cypriniformes; Cyprinidae
Source: Ensembl